UUGAACGCUGGCGGCUGCUUACACAUGCGAGUCGGACGGCAGCACAGAGAAGCUUGCUUCUUGGGUGGCGAGUGGCGAACGGGUGAGUAACAUAUCGGAACGUACCGAGCAGUGGGGGAUAACUAAUCGUAAGAUUAGCUAAUACCGCAUAUAUUCUGAGGAAGAAAGCAGGGGACCAUUUGGCCUUGCGCUGUUUGAGCGGCCGAUAUCUGAUUAGCUAGUUGGUGGGGUAAAGGCCUACCAAGGCGACGAUCAGUAGCGGGUCUGAGAGGAUGAUCCGCCACACUGGGACUGAGACACGGCCCAGACUCCUACGGGAGGCAGCAGUGGGGAAUUUUGGACAAUGGGCGCAAGCCUGAUCCAGCCAUGCCGCGUGUCUGAAGAAGGCCUUCGGGUUGUAAAGGACUUUUGUCAGGGAAGAAAAGGGCGGGGUUAAUACCCCUGUCUGAUGACGGUACCUGAAGAAUAAGCACCGGCUAACUACGUGCCAGCAGCCGCGGUAAUACGUAGGGUGCGAGCGUUAAUCGGAAUUACUGGGCGUAAAGCGGGCGCAGACGGUUACUUAAGCAGGAUGUGAAAUCCCCGGGCUCAACCUGGGAACUGCGUUCUGAACUGGGUGACUAGAGUGUGUCAGAGGGAGGUAGAAUUCCACGUGUAGCAGUGAAAUGCGUAGAGAUGUGGAGGAAUACCGAUGGCGAAGGCAGCCUCCUGGGAUAACACUGACGUUCAUGCCCGAAAGCGUGGGUAGCAAACAGGAUUAGAUACCCUGGUAGUCCACGCCCUAAACGAUGUCGAUUAGCUGUUGGGCAGCAUGACUGCUUAGUAGCGAAGCUAACGCGUGAAUCGACC
RNAcentral lists this ribosomal RNA (849 nucleotides) under uncultured Neisseria sp. RNAcentral describes it as "bacterial SSU rRNA". It matches the Rfam family "Bacterial small subunit ribosomal RNA", at positions 29 to 870 of the family's 1533-position model. The record is from RNAcentral. Lineage: Bacteria; Pseudomonadati; Pseudomonadota; Betaproteobacteria; Neisseriales; Neisseriaceae.